AUUAGCUAGAUGGUGAGGUACACGGCCCAGCCAGGCAACGAUGCGUAGCCGGUCUGAAAGGAUGCGACCGCCUACAUUGGGACUGAGACACGGCCCACACUCCUACGGGAGUGCAGCACUACGGAAUUUUCCGCGAUGGGGGAAACCCUGACACGACGCAACGACCGCGUGAGCGAACAACGCCUAUCGGGUCAUAAAGCUCUGUUGUAUACAGCGAAGAACGUCAACAUGCACCGAAAUGGUCGUGCGAGUGACGGUACUUUACCACAAAGCCACGAGCUAACGUACGCUAGCCAGCAGCCGUAGGUAAUAGGUAGCUGGCGAGCUUUAUCAUGGAAUCAUUGGGAGUAAAGAGGGAGCAGGCGGCCGCAAGGGUACUGUGGUGAAAGACCGAAGCUAAAAUUGUGUAACUCAUGGAAACCGGGCGGCUCGAGUGGGGAUGAGGAUCGGUGAUUUCCAUGCGUGGCGGUGUAAUGCGUAGAUAUAUUGAGGAACUCCAGUGGUGAAGGCGAUGGUCUGGGCAGUCCACUGACGCUCUUUCCGAUAAGGGUGGGGAGUAAAUAGGAUUAUAUACCCUAGUAGUCCACGCCGUAAACGAUGGUCUUUAAGUGUCGGGGGUCAUACCCCGGUGCUGCAGUCAUCGCAAUAAGUGACCCGCCUGAGUAGUACGUUCGCAAGAAGGAAAGUCAAAGGAAGGGACGUGGGCCUGCGCAAGCGGUGGUAGUCAUGUGGUUUAAUUCGAAGCAACGUGAAGAACCUUUUCAUGACUUGACAUGCGUCUAAGGAUGUAGAGAUACAUUAGGUGCCAUUAGGGGAAAGCUGAGACAGGUGGUGCAUUGUGGUCGUCAGCUCGGGUCGUGAGAGGUUGGUCUAAGUCUCGCAUCGAGUGCAACUCGUAGUGUUAGUUGGUAGGAAAGAGCCCUCUAGCGAGAUUACCGGUGGCUAAAUGUAGGAAGGCGGGGGUGUUGUCAAAUCAUCAUGCCCGUUAUGUGGUGGGAUACGCACGUAAUGCAAUGGGGAAAACAGAGGGAAGCAAAGCCGCGAGGCAGAGCAAAACCAUAUAAAGCCAUCUCAGUUUGGAUUGCAGGGGGCAACUUGCGUGCAAGAAGAUGGAAUUGCUAGUAAUCGCGGAUCAGAAUGCAGCGGUGAAUAAGUUCCCGGCCUUAGUACACACCGCCCGUCA
This 1183-nucleotide ribosomal RNA is filed under the name uncultured bacterium. Its description in RNAcentral is "bacterial SSU rRNA". It matches the Rfam family "Bacterial small subunit ribosomal RNA", at positions 240 to 1399 of the family's 1533-position model. The record is from RNAcentral.